UACGAAGGGGGCUAGCGUUGCUCGGAAUUACUGGGCGUAAAGCGCACGUAGGCGGCUUUCUAAGUCGGGGGUGAAAUCCUGGAGCUCAACUCCAGAACUGCCUUCGAUACUGGAGAGCUCGAGUCCGGGAGAGGUGAGUGGAACUGCGAGUGUAGAGGUGAAAUGCGUAGAUAUCCGGAGGAACACCGGUGGCGAAGGCGGCUUCCUGGACCGACACUGACGCUGAGGCGCGAAAGCUAGGGGAGCAAACGGG
RNAcentral lists this ribosomal RNA (253 nucleotides) under uncultured bacterium. Its description in RNAcentral is "partial 16S ribosomal RNA". It matches the Rfam family "Bacterial small subunit ribosomal RNA", at positions 524 to 776 of the family's 1533-position model. The record is from RNAcentral.